GGGAUUCAGUGUGUUCGUAUUGUGCAGAGAGUGUGUGUGUGAGUGAAAGAUUGAGUGAAUUUCUUGCAGAGUGUGUGUGAAUUGGUAUUUUUGCUACAUCACGUAUGAGACAUUAGAUUAAUUUUACAAUUCCAUUCCUCUUAGGCCUUAGCUCUUGCACAAGCUUGCUCCAAGGAGUGACAGAUAAGUACAAUAGAAAAUCACGAAUCUUUGUUGAGUUACUUUAUUCCAGUUCAGUGCUUAACAGAUUGAACAAUUAUAUGCAAUAUUGAAAUUAAUAAUUAAAAUCAAUAUUAAUGGCCUAGAAAAAUGAACUCUCACAUGGUUGUACAAGGUUUUUUUAAUGAGCUUAAAUAAAGAUCCUUAAUCUGCCCUCGCGUGCUUCUGAAAAGGCAAUGUGUAUUUGACUACUUGUGAUGAUUUUAUAUCUUCUGCGGCAGAUAAAAACAAACUUUCUCACAUUCUACACCUACUUGUGAUGCUUUUAUAUCUUCUGCGGCAGAUAAAAACAAACUUUCUCACAUUCUACACCUACCCCUCUCUCCGGCCUGGCCCCAAAAUUCCAAUAGAAAAUUCUCAGGAAAACAACUUGGUGGUGUUAGGUGAGUGUUUGGAGCGGGAGGGGGUAUAGAAGCACCCGUGCAUUUCCAUAGUAUUAUUAUUACUUUCUUCGUUCUUCCCACUCGAGAAACCCUCAAACAGGAUCUAGCUAUAGAGACAUGGCUUAUGCUGUUAUAACUUCCAUUAUGACAACUAUAGAGCAAGUCUUGCAAUUCAAUCCAAGUUUGAUUUCUGAAUGUAGAGGAUCC
This 809-nucleotide long non-coding RNA is filed under the name Nicotiana benthamiana. RNAcentral's name for it is "long non-coding RNA (NBEN_LNC008286)". The record is from RNAcentral. Lineage: Eukaryota; Viridiplantae; Streptophyta; Magnoliopsida; Solanales; Solanaceae.